ACAAUUUAUUCAUAAAGCAAAGAAUUCAUCAAGCAUCAAUUAAAUUUUAUACAUUCAAAGAACUUAAUCCACAAUACCAUGCCACAAUUCAACAAUAUCAAUCAAUUCAUGCCUAAGCACCAUGCAACAAUAACAAAAAUAAAAGAAUAAUAUUUUUGAAUUUUUUUAUACAUGGCAUAAAAUUCGAAAACAAGCAAAACACAUAAAAAAAAAGAAAAAUAAAAUAAUGUGCAUCCCCC
This 239-nucleotide long non-coding RNA is filed under the name Gossypium raimondii (Peruvian cotton). RNAcentral describes it as "long non-coding RNA (GRAI_LNC002034)". Lineage: Eukaryota; Viridiplantae; Streptophyta; Magnoliopsida; Malvales; Malvaceae. The record is from RNAcentral.